This 429-nucleotide ribosomal RNA is filed under the name uncultured bacterium. RNAcentral's name for it is "bacterial SSU rRNA". It matches the Rfam family "Bacterial small subunit ribosomal RNA", at positions 355 to 775 of the family's 1533-position model. The record is from RNAcentral.
UGAGGAAUCUUGCGCAAUGGGGGAAACCCUGACGCAGCGACGCCGCGUGAGUGAGGAAGGUCUUCGGGUCGUAAAGCUCUGUCAGGCGGGAAGAAAUGGAUGGAGGUGAACAGCCGCCAUGCUUGACGGUACCGCCAGAGGAAGCACCGGCUAACUCCGUGCCAGCAGCCGCGGUAAUACGGGGGGUGCAAGCGUUGUUCGGAAUCAUUGGGCGUAAAGAGCGUGUAGGCGGCUUGGUAAGUCAGAUGUGAAAGCCCUGGGCUCAACCCGGGAAGUGCAUUUGAAACUGCCAGGCUCGAGUAGGGGAGAGGGAAGUGGAAUUCCUGGUGUGGAGGUGAAAUUCGUAGAUAUCAGGGGGAACACCGGUGGCGAAGGCGACUUCCUGGCCCUAUACUGACGCUGAGACGCGAGAGCGUGGGUAGCAAACAG